CCCUUAGAUGUUCUGGGCCGCACGCGUGCUACACUGAGUAAUUCAAUGGGUAAGGGAACGCUAGAGCAUUACCUAAUCUUGAAAUUUGCUCGUGAUGGGGAUCGACGGUUGCAAUUUUCCGUCGUGAACGAGGAAUACCUUGUAGGCGCAUGUCAUCAUCAUGCGCCGAAUACGUCCCUGCCCUUUAUACACACCGCCCGUCGCUCCUACCGAUUGAGUGAUCCGGUGAGGCUCUGGGACCUGGACGGAAAGAGCGUUUCGCUUGUUCUGUUUGGGAAACUUGGUCGAACCUUAUCAUUUAGAGGAAGGAGAAGUCGUAACA
Molecule: ribosomal RNA, 322 nt
Filed under: uncultured eukaryote
Lineage: Eukaryota
Description: partial 18S ribosomal RNA
Rfam family: Eukaryotic small subunit ribosomal RNA
Source: RNAcentral